GGAUUGUGGGGGGUCGCUCUAGGCACCGCAGCACUGUGCUGGGGAUGUUGCAGCUGCCUGGGAGUGACAUCACACAGUCCUC
RNAcentral lists this microRNA precursor (82 nucleotides) under Saimiri boliviensis boliviensis (Bolivian squirrel monkey). Its description in RNAcentral is "miRNA (ENSSBOG00000005339.1)". It matches the Rfam family "mir-1301 microRNA precursor family". Lineage: Eukaryota; Metazoa; Chordata; Mammalia; Primates; Cebidae. The record is from RNAcentral.